Molecule: ribosomal RNA, 449 nt
Filed under: uncultured bacterium
Lineage: Bacteria
Description: bacterial SSU rRNA
Rfam family: Bacterial small subunit ribosomal RNA
Source: RNAcentral
AGUCCAGACUCCUACGGGAGGCAGCAGUGGGGAAUAUUGCACAAUGGGGGAAACCCUGAUGCAGCGACGCCGCGUGAGCGAUGAAGUAUUUCGGUAUGUAAAGCUCUAUCAGCAGGGAAGAAAAUGACGGUACCGGACUAAGAAGCCCCGGCUAACUACGUGCCAGCAGCCGCGGGAAUACGUAGGGGGCAAGCGUUAUCCGGAUUUACUGGGUGUAAAGGGAGCGUAGACGGCUGUGCAAGCCAGAUGUGAAAGCCCAGGGCUCAACCCCGGGACUGCAUUUGGAACUGUGUGGCUGGAGUGUCGGAGAGGCAGGCGGAAUUCCUAGUGUAGCGGUGAAAUGCGUAGAUAUUAGGAGGAACACCAGUGGCGAAGGCGGCCUGCUGGACGAUGACUGACGUUGAGGCUCGAAAGCGUGGGGAGCAAACAGGAUUAGAUACCCGCGUAAA